Molecule: ribosomal RNA, 482 nt
Filed under: uncultured bacterium
Lineage: Bacteria
Description: partial 16S ribosomal RNA
Rfam family: Bacterial small subunit ribosomal RNA
Source: RNAcentral
UGAACGCUGGCGGCAGGCCUAACACAUGCAAGUCGAGCGGAUGAAGGGAGCUUGCUCCUGGAUUCAGCGGCGGACGGGUGAGUAAUGCCUAGGAAUCUGCCUGGUAGUGGGGGAUAACGUCCGGAAACGGGCGCUAAUACCGCAUACGUCCUGAGGGAGAAAGUGGGGGAUCUUCGGACCUCACGCUAUCAGAUGAGCCUAGGUCGGAUUAGCUAGUUGGUGGGGUAAGGGCCUACCAAGGCGACGAUCCGUAACUGGUCUGAGAGGAUGAUCAGUCACACUGGAACUGAGACACGGUCCAGACUCCUACGGGAGGCAGCAGUGGGGAAUAUUGGACAAUGGGCGAAAGCCUGAUCCAGCCAUGCCGCGUGUGUGAAGAAGGUCUUCGGAUUGUAAAGCACUUUAAGUUGGGAGGAAGGGCAGUAAGUUAAUACCUUGCUGUUUUGACGUUACCAACAGAAUAAGCACCGGCUAACUUCGUG